GACCGCUUAGCUCAGCCGGUAGAGCAACUGACUUUUAAUCAGUAGGCCGUGGGUUCAAAUCCCACAGCGGUCACCA
RNAcentral lists this transfer RNA (76 nucleotides) under Alphaproteobacteria bacterium CG_4_9_14_3_um_filter_47_13. RNAcentral's name for it is "tRNA-Lys". It matches the Rfam family "tRNA". From Rfam's summary of the family: Transfer RNA (tRNA) molecules are approximately 80 nucleotides in length. Their secondary structure includes four short double-helical elements and three loops (D, anti-codon, and T loops). Further hydrogen bonds mediate the characteristic L-shaped molecular structure. tRNAs have two regions of fundamental functional importance: the anti-codon, which is responsible for specific mRNA codon recognition, and the 3' end, to which the tRNAs corresponding amino acid is attached (by aminoacyl-tRNA synthetases). tRNAs cope with the degeneracy of the genetic code in two manners: having more than one tRNA (with a specific anti-codon) for a particular amino acid; and 'wobble' base-pairing, i.e. permitting non-standard base-pairing at the 3rd anti-codon position. Lineage: Bacteria; Pseudomonadati; Pseudomonadota; Alphaproteobacteria. The record is from RNAcentral.